This 75-nucleotide transfer RNA is filed under the name Rhizobium leguminosarum bv. trifolii. RNAcentral describes it as "tRNA-Ser". The stretch from base 9 to 72 matches the Rfam family "tRNA". Rfam says of the family: Transfer RNA (tRNA) molecules are approximately 80 nucleotides in length. Lineage: Bacteria; Pseudomonadati; Pseudomonadota; Alphaproteobacteria; Hyphomicrobiales; Rhizobiaceae. The record is from RNAcentral. RNAcentral also lists the same sequence under 1 other name.
GGCCCUGCAAAUGCUGGGUUUAACGUCUGCCUUCUAAGCAGGUUGUCGCAGGUUCGAUUCCUGCAGGGGUCGCCA